UGGCCUUGACAUAGUAAGAACUUUUUAGAGAUAAAUUGGUGCUAGUUUACUAGAACUUACAUAC
Molecule: ribosomal RNA, 64 nt
Filed under: uncultured bacterium
Lineage: Bacteria
Description: partial 16S ribosomal RNA
Source: RNAcentral